CCCCAUAAAAAGUUUUUUUGUCAAUUUUUUGUUUGAUUUAGUAAUUUUUGUUUUACCGAAAAAAUAAUUACCACCUACAAUGACAGUUAGGAUAUAAAUAGGCCAAAUAAAUGUCCUUUUUAACCACAAAAGCUCUUUGCGAUAAAAUGAUUUUUAGCGGGCUAGGGGGUUUUCCUUUCCUUCCCCAGGUACCCCAUUGUUUUUUAUCACCCCACUUUACUAUUUUUUACUUUAAUUUAUUGAAUGAUUUAAUUGAUUUUAAGGUAACCAUGUAUCAAAAACAGAUAUUUUACAGCUUUGCCUACGUUUUCUGAUAAUGUAAUUUGUUUUAGGUUAAGACUGUUUAGUUACAGGCAUAGGCGUCAAAUUCCGGGUUGCCGGGUUGGCGAAAUACGUAUGGCCACCCCGGUUUUGGGUUGGGCAAUGUUUGUAUUUUUUCCAAGUAUAGCGUAAAAAAACACUCGUACUAUCAGUAAACGUAAAUCAGGGCACGCGUUCGCAGAGAGCCUGCUCUUGCCUGUUUCUUUUAUAAAAAUGAUAGAUUGCUUUAUGAGCACGUGUUUGCAUGAGCACUCUUACGCUCUCACUGGUUUCUUUUUUAAAAACGAGAGAACGCUAAUGAGCACGUGUUCGCAUGGAGCACGCUCUAGCCUGUUUUUUUUUACAUAGUAAAGUAAAGAAUGACAUGCCAAAUAUAUGCGACACAACAGCAAUUCAAUAAUACAUGGAUAUUUUUCAAUAGUUACAAUUUACAGGUUUAUUGUUUUCGUCAUAAUAGCUAUUAAGAAGUAUUUGCAUUUUUACGUGGAUUCGCUAGAAAUCUGGUUAAAUUUGUCCAAUUAUUGUUAAAACGAGAGUAAGCGAAUGCCUUUUAUACGAUCUUAUAGCAUGCAUUGGUUAUGGUUUAACUAGAGUAUUGCACGUUACGCAGCACGUUAAUCCAGUCCUGGACACUCACUUAAAAGUAGGUCGGCAACCACUUGUCGGCGAUAUUGCCGACGAUGAAGAAACGCGGCCGAACGCUAGCACUCGCAUCAUAAAAUACUACAUAUGGCCUUUUGCCGCGUGUCGCUUCUACCGUCUGCGUGUUAUUAAAUCUGUUAGCGGGGCGAUUCUUGAAUUAAUAAAGGUUUCUUACUACCGCACUGACCAAAUCAAGAAUGAAGUCGAACAACUUCAGAAAGUGAUGGUAGAUCGUAAAUAUUAGUUCGUAGGUUGAGAAACACGAGCUUACUAGCACAACUUACGAAUCUGCAACACAUGUGGUUUAUUUACAAGACGUGAAGUGAACAACUACGUUUGGUAAAACAGCAAAAAAGGUUAAAAACCGAGAAAUUCUUCAUCUGAAGAGGACGACCACACUUCUUCAUUUUCAGAAGCGUCUGUUGUUUCCUGUUCUAGGAGCAACGACGGAGUGCUGCUCGUACAUGCUUUUGCCAAUUUUGCAGGGUGGUUAAUACCUUGUAGCCUUCUUAUUCCUUUUCUUUCCGAGCCAUCUAAAUGCUGCCCAAUGAAGUUAUCUACCGCAUGCUCAUACCGUUCAGGUGAAUAGUCGCAUCGCAAUCGUAAAAUGUUUUCGAUGGUAUUGUGUUUUAAAGACUGUCUCUCUUUUGCGAAACACGCGCCAUAGAAAGGAAAAAAUACGCUCGCAUUCAAUGAACUCUCUGUCAUAUUUACGUCUAGUCCACGUUUAUCUCUGACGCGAUAAAACACUUCAUUUAUUGGUUGUGCACACGAAUUUAUAUUCUAUUUUACGCGGUAAAUUAAAACUAACACUACAUUAUUAAAAACACGUAUCUAAAUUAAUAUAAACAGAUGAAACAUUGUUGCAGAUUUACGCAUGUUAAUGUAACGAUUAUUUACGUCAGAAUACCUUUGAUAAACCAUUACGAUUGUCCCAUCACAAACGAGAUUGUUGGUAAACAAUCGUGUUUUAUUUGCUCCCAUACGAUCUGUAGUUUUUGUAUGAUUUCUGUUUCUGAUGAUUAGUUUAAAUCAGUGCUUCCCAAACUAUGGUAUGCGAAGGCCUCCCAGGUGGUACGCGAGCACCUUAUUAAGUUCACACCAAACGAUCGCAAAUGAUCUUUU
This is a non-coding RNA of Ciona intestinalis (vase tunicate), 2088 nucleotides long. Lineage: Eukaryota; Metazoa; Chordata; Ascidiacea; Phlebobranchia; Cionidae. The record is from RefSeq and is a predicted model, not a curated record.